UUAUUGAAAAUGUAAAAUUAUUUCAUUGGUAUUAAUAGUUAAGAUCUUUAAAUUAAAAGAAUUUGACGGUAAUUUAUCAUUCCAGAGGAGCCUGUCCUAUAAUCGAUAACCCACGUUAAAUUUUACCUCAAUUUUUGCUUAUAUACCUCUGUUAUAAGAGUGUUUUAUUAGGAAUUAAUUCUCUCUUGUUUUUUUAAAAUAUAUAUCAGGUCAAGGUUUAGUUAUAUUGAGGUUGAGAUGGGCUACAUUUAAUUUUUAUUAUUGGAUUUUUAUUUUUAUUAAUAAAAUGAAAUUGGAUUUGGUUGUAAUUUUUAUUAUAUAUUAUUUAUGAUAUUUGUUCUAGAUUAAGUACAUAUCGCCCGUCACUCUCAUUAUUAAUAUGAGAUAAGUCGUAACAAAGUAAGUUUACCGGAAGGUGAACUUGGAAAUAUACAGAUUAGUCCGCUAGGCAUGUUAUUAUUUACAUUAAUAAUCAAAAUUUGUGCAAUUCAAAUUAAUCUGAUUUAUUUAUUUAUUUAAUUUAUUUAUUCUUUUAUUUAUAUUUUAUAGAAAUAACUUUCUUUUUAGUAAUUCUUAUUGAAUAAUUUAUUUUUUAUUUAUAGUUAAUUUUACUGUUAAGGUAAAUAAUUUUAAUUUGUUAAAGUAGAAUUAUUUAUUUGUACCUUUUGCAUCAGGGUUUAUCAAUUAUAUUUAAUUAUUAUUAAUUUUCCCGAAAUAGUAAUAGAUAUUUUAAUUUGUUAUUUUAUGUGACAUAAUAAUUGAUAAAUUUAAAAUAGGAGUGAUAUGCUAUUCAUUUACUAAUAUCUGGUUUCUUGAGAAUUGAAUUUAAUUUAGAAUUAUUAAGGAUUUAAUUUAAUUUAAUUGGUUAAAUUUUAAUAAUUUAAUGUUAUUAGGGAUUAGCUUUUUAACAUUUAUAUAACUUUAUUUUUUAUUUAUAUUUUAUAGGGUUAAUAACACCCAUUUAUAUUUCGUUAUAGUUAUAUUUAUAUUUUAUUUUUAUUUUAUUGGGUUUAUUUUUUUAUCAGGAUUUAUUAUUUAAUUAAUAAAUAGUAUUAAUAAUGAUAAAAUUAGUAGUUUUUAUAUUUUAUAUACAGGAAUUCGGCAAAUAUAAUAUUCACCUGUUUAACAAAAACAUGUCUUAUUGUAAAUUUAUAUUAAGUCUUGCCUGCUCAAUGAUAAUAUUUAUUAAAUAGCCGCAGUAUUUUGACUGUGCAAAGGUAGCAUAAUCAUUUGUCUUUUAAUUGUGGACUUGUAUGAAUGGUUUGAUGAGAUAUUAGCUUUCUUUAUAUAAAAUUGAUUAAUUUAAUUUCUUAGUUAAAAAGCUGAGAUAAUCUUAUAGGACGAGAAGACCCUAUAGAAUUUUAUCCAUACAUUUAUAAAUUAUAUUUGGAUAUUUUUUAUUUUUAUGGAUGUAUGUAUUUUGUUGGGGUGACAGGGAAAUUUACAUAACUUUCUUUAUUUAUAUAUUAUUAAUUUAUAUAUUUAUGAUCCUUUUUUAAGGAUAUUAAGAUUAAAUUACCUUAGGGAUAACAGCGUAAUUUCUUUGGAGAGUUCUUAUCGAUAAUGAAGU
This 1570-nucleotide ribosomal RNA is filed under the name Elasmostethus humeralis. RNAcentral's name for it is "partial 16S rRNA". Lineage: Eukaryota; Metazoa; Arthropoda; Insecta; Hemiptera; Acanthosomatidae. The record is from RNAcentral.